Molecule: non-coding RNA, 96 nt
Organism: Clostridium saccharoperbutylacetonicum N1-4(HMT)
Lineage: Bacteria; Bacillati; Bacillota; Clostridia; Eubacteriales; Clostridiaceae
Source: Rfam
UCCUCGGCGACGAGGAAUCUUAAGUAAGCUGGAGGCAAAUUUCUGGUCUGACGGACAGAAACUACAUCAAGCAUAUAUAUGUGGUAAGGUUGUAAU